Molecule: ribosomal RNA, 1218 nt
Filed under: Sarcocheilichthys variegatus microoculus
Lineage: Eukaryota; Metazoa; Chordata; Actinopteri; Cypriniformes; Gobionidae
Description: partial 16S ribosomal RNA
Rfam family: Bacterial large subunit ribosomal RNA
Source: RNAcentral
CUUUAGUUUGAAACCCCGAAACCAGGUGAGCUACCCCGAGACAGCCUAUUUACUUAGGGCUAACCCGUCUCUGUGGCAAAAGAGUGGGAAGAGCUCCGGGUAGAAGUGACAGACCUACCGAACCUGGUGAUAGCUGGUUGUCUGAGAGAUGGAUAGAAGUUCAGCCCUAUUACGCCCCCGACCAAAACACACCGCUCAAGGUGCAAGGGAAAUAUUUAGGAGUUAGUUAGAGGGGGUACAGCCCCUCUAACAAAGGAUACAACCUUAUAAAGGAGAAUAAAGAUCAUAAUCUACAAGACAUACUGUUCUAGUGGGCCUAAAAGCAGCCACCUAAACAGAAAGCGUUAAAGCUCAGACAGAAAGAAGUUUAUUAUAAUGAUAACAAAUCUUAUUUCCCUAAUAAUAUCAGACCACCCCAUGCCCGCAUGGAAGAAAUUAUGCUAAAAUGAGUAACAAGAAGACUUGCUCUUCUCCAAGCACAAGUGUAAGCCAGAUCGGACAAGCCGCUGGAAAUUAACGAACUCAACCAAAAGAGAGUACUGCGGAUAAUAAAAAAACCAAGAAAACCCCGCAACCAGGCAUCGUUAACCCCACACUGGAAUGCUAUAAUAAAGGAAAGACUAAAAGAAAGGGAAGGAACUCGGCAAACACAAGCCUCGCCUGUUUACCAAAAACAUCGCCUCCUGCAACUAAACCAAGUAUAGGAGGUCCAGCCUGCCCAGUGACUAAGGGUUCAACGGCCGCGGUAUUUUGACCGUGCAAAGGUAGCGCAAUCACUUGUCUUUUAAAUAGAGACCUGUAUGAAUGGCUAAACGAGGGCUUAACUGUCUCCCCCUUCGGGUCAGUGAAAUUGAUCUAUCCGUGCAGAAGCGGAUAUAAUUAUACAAGACGAGAAGACCCUUUGGAGCUUAAGGUACAAAACUUAACCACGUCAAACAACUUAAUCAAAAAGCAAGAACUUAGUGGGCCAUAAGACUUUACCUUCGGUUGGGGCGACCGCGGAGGAAAAUCCAGCCUCCGAGUGGAAUGGGCCAAACCCCCUAAAACUAAGAGAAACAUCUCUAAGCCGCAGAACAUCUGACCAAAAAUGAUCCGGCUAAAGUCGAUCAACGAACCAAGUUACCCUAGGGAUAACAGCGCAAUCCUCUCCCAGAGUCCAUAUCGACGAGGGGGUUUACGACCUCGAUGUUGGAUCAGGACAUCCUAAUGGUGCAGCCG